GUUACCUGUAUAUGUAAGUCGCUCUGGAUAAGAGCGUCUGCUAAAUGACGUAAA
Molecule: non-coding RNA, 54 nt
Organism: Salmo salar (Atlantic salmon)
Lineage: Eukaryota; Metazoa; Chordata; Actinopteri; Salmoniformes; Salmonidae
Source: Rfam